GCAGCGGCGGUUCAGUGGUAGAAUCCUCACCUUCCAUGCAGGAGACCUGGGUUCGAUUCCCGGCCAAUGCA
Molecule: transfer RNA, 71 nt
Filed under: Loxodonta africana (African savanna elephant)
Lineage: Eukaryota; Metazoa; Chordata; Mammalia; Proboscidea; Elephantidae
Rfam family: tRNA
About the family: Transfer RNA (tRNA) molecules are approximately 80 nucleotides in length.
Source: Rfam by way of RNAcentral